UCAGACGAUGCGUUAUGCAUAUCAAUAAGCGGAGGAAAAGAAACUAACAAGGAUUCCCCUAGUAACGGCGAGUGAAGCGGGAAGAGCUCAAAUUUGAAAUCUUAAAGGGUUUCCCUUUACGAAUUGUAGUUUAAAGAAGUGUUUUCUGUUGAGGUUUUGGUAAAAGUUCUUUGGAAUAGGACAUCAUAGAGGGUGAGAAUCCCGUAUUUGACCUUUACUUUCAACUUUGUGAUACACUUUCAAAGAGUCGGAUUGUUUGGGAAUGCAGUCCAAAAUGGGUGGUAAAUUUCAUCUAAAGCUAAAUAUUGGCGAGAGACCGAUAGCGAACAAGUACCGUGAGGGAAAGAUGAAAAGAACUUUGAAAAGAGAGUUAAACAGUACGUGAAAUUGUCAAAAGGGAAGCGUUUGACACCAGUGUUGUUUUUCUGAAAAUCAAUUAAAGAACUGUUUAUGCUAAGUUGUUUAGACUUUAUCAGCUAACUGUUUAGUUUUGAGCUUUUCUUUAAUGCACUUUUCAGUUAACAAGUCAACAUCAAUUUCUUUUGCUGUAAAAAAGCUUGAGGAAGGUGGCUUGAGAUUCGUCUUAAGUGUUUAUAGCCUCUUGCCUAUGCAGUCGGAGAGAUUGAGGUCUGCAGCGUAGAUCCUUCGGGGCUAAAUGCAUUUGUGCUAAGUUAUAGCAUUUUAUAGACAACUUGUUGACUAUGAUUUGUCUUGUAGCUUACUCGCUUAUGUUAUUUUACCUACGCUUAGGAUGUUGAGCGCAUGUCUCUCUCU
RNAcentral lists this ribosomal RNA (774 nucleotides) under uncultured Neocallimastigales. RNAcentral describes it as "partial large subunit ribosomal RNA". It matches the Rfam family "Eukaryotic large subunit ribosomal RNA", at positions 18 to 616 of the family's 3401-position model. Lineage: Eukaryota; Fungi; Neocallimastigomycota; Neocallimastigomycetes; Neocallimastigales. The record is from RNAcentral.